GUAAUGUAUGGGGAUCUGCCUGAUGGCGGGGGAUAACUACUGGAAACGGUAGCUAAUACCGCAUAAUGUCUACGGACCAAAGCGGGGGACCUCCGGGCCUCGCGCCAUCAGAUGAACCCAUAUGGGAUUAGCUAGUAGGUGAGGUAACGGCUUACCUAGGCGACGAUCCCUAGCUGGUCUGAGAGGAUGAUCAGCCACACUGGGACUGAGACACGGCCCAG
This 221-nucleotide ribosomal RNA is filed under the name uncultured bacterium. RNAcentral's name for it is "partial 16S ribosomal RNA". It matches the Rfam family "Bacterial small subunit ribosomal RNA", at positions 110 to 334 of the family's 1533-position model. The record is from RNAcentral.